Molecule: transfer RNA, 41 nt
Filed under: Cyrtodactylus sommerladi (Sommerlad's bent-toed gecko)
Lineage: Eukaryota; Metazoa; Chordata; Lepidosauria; Squamata; Gekkonidae
Description: partial tRNA-Tyr
Source: RNAcentral
GGCGAGCUGUAAACUCGUUUACGGGGCAAUGGCCCCCCCAA